This 255-nucleotide long non-coding RNA is filed under the name Hordeum vulgare. RNAcentral's name for it is "long non-coding RNA (HVUL_LNC017818)". Lineage: Eukaryota; Viridiplantae; Streptophyta; Magnoliopsida; Poales; Poaceae. The record is from RNAcentral.
AGCUCGUACGCUGAUCCGUGGUGGAAGUAAGUAAGUAGUUCCGGCUGUGGGCUGCGGCUGCGCUGUGUGCGGCCGUCGUCUCCCUCCUCCCUCCCCAUAGUUUAAUCUCCGGUACCGCGUCCCUGUCCGGCCACCGGGUGGUGGUUCGCGUCCGGGUUGGCCGAGCCGCGAAAGCGACCUCCCCUCCUCCCCCUCCUCUUCCUCUCCCCGUCGCCAAGAACCCACCCCACCCCGCACCCCCCCUCUCCUCCCANN